ACCACGGUGGUCACCCGGGAGCUGUGCAGGAAUCAGCCCAUUCAAGCACCCGGUGGGAUGUACCCAACCUGAGCGAAUUUAAGAUGGAAAGAGUGGAAAGUCAUAGAACAGAAUGAGAUUUCACAUAGAACUCAUCAACAGAUUACGGCCUGCAAGCCUCAGUCGACAUUAUUACGUUAAUCAAGGUGAACUCAGGAAUCAACAAGCCAUGACGACGCAGGCCGAAAUCAUCGCAGAGGUAGUUUGAUUUCACUGAUGUGUCUCAAAUUUUAAUGCGUACUAUGAUCAUUUAACUCUGUAGGAGAAUACAUUGGUUGUGUUAUUCAAGUGUCUUCCUUUACAGCAGGUGGGGGAAGAAGAAAGCCAAAGAAGACGGUGAAUACAAAACCCCAUUUACAACAGGAGCACUGACCAUCUCAACCGUCUGUAGAGAAUCAAGGACAGAGAACAUCCUCUGACAACGACCGCUAUUGACUUUCAUUUCUAUUUCUACUAGUUUAACUUAUUUUUUUUAAAGUAGUACAUGUCUUUGGGAUUUGUAGCAUGAAUCACUGUAUUUCACUGCUUUUGCUGCACAUCUAUGACUGCUGUUUUACAAAGUACAUUAAAUCAAUACCUCACU
Molecule: long non-coding RNA, 622 nt
Organism: Acanthochromis polyacanthus (spiny chromis)
Lineage: Eukaryota; Metazoa; Chordata; Actinopteri; Pomacentridae
Exons: 4
Source: RefSeq, a predicted model, not a curated record